CCUACGGGAGGCAGCAGUAGGGAAUCUUCCACAAUGGGCGAAAGCCUGAUGGAGCAACGCCGCGUGGGUGAAGAAGGUCUUCGGAUCGUAAAACCCUGUUGUCAGAGAAGAAAGUGCGUGAGAGUAACUGUUCACGUGUCGACGGUAUCUAACCAGAAAGCCACGGCUAACUACGUGCCAGCAGCCGCGGUAAUACGUAGGUGGCAAGCGUUAUCCGGAUUUAUUGGGCGUAAGGGGAACGCAGGCGGUCUUUUAAGUCUGAUGUGAAAGCCUUCGGCUUAACCGGAGUAGUGCAUUGGAAACUGGGAGACUUGAGUGCAGAAGAGGAGAGUGGAACUCCAUGUGUAGCGGUGAAAUGCGUAGAUAUAUGGAAGAACACCAGUGGCGAAAGCGGCUCUCUGGUCUGUAACUGACGCUGAGGUUCGAAAGCGUGGGUAGCAAACAGGAUUAGAUACCCCAGUAGUC
This 465-nucleotide ribosomal RNA is filed under the name uncultured bacterium. RNAcentral's name for it is "partial 16S ribosomal RNA". It matches the Rfam family "Bacterial small subunit ribosomal RNA", at positions 338 to 795 of the family's 1533-position model. The record is from RNAcentral.